RNAcentral lists this ribosomal RNA (508 nucleotides) under uncultured bacterium. RNAcentral describes it as "partial 16S ribosomal RNA". It matches the Rfam family "Bacterial small subunit ribosomal RNA", at positions 28 to 507 of the family's 1533-position model. The record is from RNAcentral.
GACGAACGCUGGCGGCGUGCCUAAUACAUGCAAGUCGAACGCUUCUUUCCUCCCGAGUGCUUGCACUCAAUUGGAAAGAGGAGUGGCGGACGGGUGAGUAACACGUGGGUAACCUACCCAUCAGAGGGGGAUAACACUUGGAAACAGGUGCUAAUACCGCAUAACAGUUUAUGCCGCAUGGCAUAAGAGUGAAAGGCGCUUUCGGGUGUCGCUGAUGGAUGGACCCGCGGUGCAUUAGCUAGUUGGUGAGGUAACGGCUCACCAAGGCCACGAUGCAUAGCCGACCUGAGAGGGUGAUCGGCCACACUGGGACUGAGACACGGCCCAGACUCCUACGGGAGGCAGCAGUAGGGAAUCUUCGGCAAUGGACGAAAGUCUGACCGAGCAACGCCGCGUGAGUGAAGAAGGUUUUCCGAUCGUAAAACUCUGUUGUUAGAGAAGAACAAGGACGUUAGUAACUGAACGUCCCCUGACGGUAUCUAACCAGAAAGCCACGGCUAACUACGUG